AUUUUGGACAAUGGGGGAAACCCUGAUCAAGCCACCCCGCGUGUAUGAUGAAGGCGUUCGGGUUGUAAAGUACUUUUGGCAGUGAAGAAAAGGUAUCUCCUAAUACGAGAUACUGCUGGCGGUAUCUGAAGAAUAAGCACCGGCUAACUACGUGCCAGCAGCCGCGGUAAUACGUAGGGUGCAAGCGUUAAUCGGAAUUUCUGGGCGUAAAGAGUGUGUAGACGGUUCGGAAAGAAAGAUGUGAAAUCCCAGGGCUCAACCUUGGAACUGCAUUUUUAACUGCCGAGCUAGAGUAUGUCAGAGGGGAGUAGAAUUCCACGUGUAGCAGUGAAAUGCGUAGUUAUGUGGAGGAAUACCGAUGGCGAAGGCAGCCCCCUGGGAUAAUACUGACGCUCAGACACGAAAGCGUGGGGAGCAAACAG
RNAcentral lists this ribosomal RNA (422 nucleotides) under uncultured bacterium. Its description in RNAcentral is "partial 16S ribosomal RNA". It matches the Rfam family "Bacterial small subunit ribosomal RNA", at positions 361 to 775 of the family's 1533-position model. The record is from RNAcentral.